UAGGGAAUCUUCGGCAAUGGGGGCAACCCUGACCGAGCAACGCCGCGUGAGUGAAGAAGGUUUUCGGAUCGUAAAGCUCUGUUGUAAGAGAAGAACGUGUGUGAGAGUGGAAAGUUCACACAGUGACGGUAACUUACCAGAAAGGGACGGCUAACUACGUGCCAGCAGCCGCGGUAAUACGUAGGUCCCGAGCGUUGUCCGGAUUUAUUGGGCGUAAAGCGAGCGCAGGCGGUUUAAUAAGUCUGAAGUUAAAGGCAGUGGCUUAACCAUUGUUCGCUUUGGAAACUGUUAAACUUGAGUGCAGAAGGGGAGAGUGGAAUUCCAUGUGUAGCGGUGAAAUGCGAAGAUAUAUGGAGGAACACCGGUGGCGAAAGCGGCUCUCUGGUCUGUAACUGACGCUGAGGCUCGAAAGCGUGGGGAGCAAACAGG
Molecule: ribosomal RNA, 429 nt
Filed under: bacterium
Lineage: Bacteria
Description: partial 16S ribosomal RNA
Rfam family: Bacterial small subunit ribosomal RNA
Source: RNAcentral